UACGGAGGGUGCAAGCGUUAUCCGGAUUCACUGGGUUUAAAGGGUGCGUAGGCGGGCAGGUAAGUCAGGGGUGAAAUCUCCGGGCUUAACCCGGAAACUGCCGUUGAUACUAUCUGUCUUGAAUAUCGUGGAGGUAAGCGGAAUAUGUCAUGUAGCGGUGAAAUGCUUAGAUAUGACAUAGAACACCCAUUGCGAAGGCAGCUUACUACACGAUCAUUGACGCUGAGGCACGAAAGCGUGGGGAGCAAACAGG
This 253-nucleotide ribosomal RNA is filed under the name uncultured bacterium. Its description in RNAcentral is "partial 16S ribosomal RNA". It matches the Rfam family "Bacterial small subunit ribosomal RNA", at positions 524 to 776 of the family's 1533-position model. The record is from RNAcentral.